CAGCCGCCGCGGUAAUACGGGAGUGGCAAGCGUUAUCCGGAAUUAUUGGGCGUAAAGCGUCCGCAGGCGGUCUUACAAGUCUGUCGUUAAAGCGUGGAGCUUAACUCCAUUUCGGCGAUGGAAACUGUAAGACUAGAGUGUGGUAGGGGCAGAGGGAAUUCCCGGUGUAGCGGUGAAAUGCGUAGAUAUCGGGAAGAACACCAGUGGCGAAGGCGCUCUGCUGGGCCAUAACUGACGCUCAUGGACGAAAGCUAGGGGAGCGAAAGGGAUUAGAUACCCCUGUAGUCCUAGCCGUAAACGAUGAACACUAGGUGUCGGGGGAAUCGACCCCCUCGGUGUCGUAGCCAACGCGUUAAGUGUUCCGCCUGGGGAGUACGCACGCAAGUGUGAAACUCAAAGGAAUUGACGG
RNAcentral lists this ribosomal RNA (409 nucleotides) under bacterium enrichment culture clone LiUU-16-778. RNAcentral describes it as "bacterial SSU rRNA". It matches the Rfam family "Bacterial small subunit ribosomal RNA", at positions 509 to 916 of the family's 1533-position model. The record is from RNAcentral.